Molecule: long non-coding RNA, 185 nt
Organism: Fundulus heteroclitus (mummichog)
Lineage: Eukaryota; Metazoa; Chordata; Actinopteri; Cyprinodontiformes; Fundulidae
Exons: 3
Source: RefSeq, a predicted model, not a curated record
UGAGGCGCAGAAGAAUAGAUUUGUUUCAGAUUGAUGGAAAACAGAAGUUCCCUCCAUGCAACAGCUUCCAGUCUGGGUCAGUAAAAGGGCUGAAGGGAUUCAGUGUGUGAUGGAUACUCAAAGAAGCCAAUCAAACACAGCCUGAUUAUGGAUAAGAGGAGAAGUUUCCCAGUAGUAGCAGGCAG